RNAcentral lists this ribosomal RNA (684 nucleotides) under Cortinarius squamosus. Its description in RNAcentral is "Cortinarius sp. PA-2020b partial large subunit ribosomal RNA". The record is from RNAcentral. Lineage: Eukaryota; Fungi; Basidiomycota; Agaricomycetes; Agaricales; Cortinariaceae.
AAGAGUCGAGUUGUUUGGGAAUGCAGCUCAAAAUGGGUGGUAAAUUCCAUCUAAAGCUAAAUAUUGGCGAGAGACCGAUAGCGAAGAACUAGCGUGAGGGAAAGAUGAAAAGAACUUUGGAAAGAGAGUUAAACAGUACGUGAAAUUGCUGAAAGGGAAACGCUUGAAGUCAGUCGCGUCAUCCAGGGAUCAACCUUSCUUUUGCUUGGUGUACUUUCUGGUUGAUGGGUCAGCAUCAAUUUUGACCAUUGSAAAAAGAUUAAGGGAAUGUGGCAUACAUUAGUGAUGUGUUAUAGCCCUUGGUUGCAUACAAUGGUUGGGAUUGAGGAACUCAGCACGCCGCAAGGCCGGGUUUUUAUUAACCACGUAUGUGCUUAGGAUGUUGGCAUAAUGGCUUUAAUCGACCCGUCUUGAAACACGGACCAAGGAGUCUAACAUGCCUGCGAGUGUUUGGGUGGAAAACCCGAGCGCGUAAUGAAAGUGAAAGUUGAGAUCCUUGUCAUGGGGAGCAUCGACGCCCGGACCAGACCUUUUGUGACGGUUCCGCGGUAGAGCAUGUAUGUUGGGACCCGAAAGAUGGUGAACUAUGCCUGAAUAGGGUGAAKCCAGAGGAAACUCUGGUGGAGGCUCGUAGCGAUUCUGACGUGCAAAUCGAUCGUCAAAUUUGGGUAUAGGGGCGAAAGA